CGCGUAGGCGGCUAGGCAAGUCAGAUGUGAAAGCCCCGGGCUUAACUCGGGAAUUGCAUCUGAAACUGCUGUGCUUGAGUCCUGGAGGGGGUAGUGGAAUUCCCAGUGUAGCGGUGAAAUGCGUAGAUAUUGGGAGGAACACCUGCGGCGAAGGCGGCUACCUGGACAGUGACUGACGCUGAUGCGCGAAAGCUAGGGGAGCAAACGGGAUUAGAUACCCCGGUAGUCCUAGCCGUAAACGAUGGGCACUUGGUGUCGGGGGUAUUGAGUCCCCCCGGUGCCGGAGUUAACACGUUAAGUGCCCCGCCUGGGGAGUACGGUCGCAAGACUGAA
This 333-nucleotide ribosomal RNA is filed under the name uncultured bacterium. Its description in RNAcentral is "bacterial SSU rRNA". It matches the Rfam family "Bacterial small subunit ribosomal RNA", at positions 568 to 898 of the family's 1533-position model. The record is from RNAcentral.